UAAUUUCUUCGGGGCAGGGUGAAAUUCCCGACCGACGGUAACAAUCUUUUGAUUGAAGUCCGUGACCCGCGUUUAGCGGUGGACCCAGUGCAAGUCUGGGACCGACAGUAAAGUCUGGAUGGGAGAAGAAAACA
This 134-nucleotide non-coding RNA is filed under the name Lentilactobacillus farraginis. RNAcentral's name for it is "Lactobacillus farraginis FMN sequence". It matches the Rfam family "FMN riboswitch aptamer (RFN element)". From Rfam's summary of the family: The RFN element is a highly conserved domain that is found frequently in the 5'-untranslated regions of prokaryotic mRNAs that encode for flavin mononucleotide (FMN) biosynthesis and transport proteins. This element is a metabolite-dependent riboswitch that directly binds FMN in the absence of proteins. Lineage: Bacteria; Bacillati; Bacillota; Bacilli; Lactobacillales; Lactobacillaceae. The record is from RNAcentral.